This 976-nucleotide unclassified non-coding RNA is filed under the name uncultured fungus. RNAcentral describes it as "sequence contains 18S rRNA gene, ITS1, 5.8S rRNA gene, ITS2, 28S rRNA gene". The record is from RNAcentral. Lineage: Eukaryota; Fungi.
UCUUUAGCCUUUCCGCAGGAGCACUUGUGAAAUGGUGUGCCGUGUACGCCCAGGACGUACACGGCGCGUCCAGACACAGGGUUUGCACAACAAGUCCUUGUGGUUUGGCAUUAGGUUCUGUUCCACCGACGUGUCCCACGACAAACUAAACGUCUCCUUCUCUGGGUUGAUCACCUUCGUGGAAAUCAGGCGCGAAAGACAAGACAGAAGCACUUAACGCUAAGAAGUAGUCUGAAAAGGUUUGUGAUAACCCUCAGAAAGCAAAUGUGCCGCAAAAUGAAACGGAUUUUCUUUCGCGGCAAGCGCAGUUAGGGGCUAAAAUCGAAGCACUUCGCAGUCUAAUUUUCCAACAAAGACGAAUUACAGAGAUAUGCAGACUACCCCUAACGCGUCACCUCCACAUCGGCAGACUCCGACUUCUCGAAGACUACUGCCGUAUUCGCUAUGUCCUGGCGCAGAACCGAGGUAAAGAUGUGAUAGUACUGCUCAGCAAUGUGAUUUAGAGUAAAAUUCUCUACCAAGGCGAUCCGUGCGUUGCGCCCCAUGCACGUUACUUGCUCAGGUGUGUUCGCCAAUUGGGAAAUCACCCGAACCAGCUGAUCUGUAUCAUUUUGGUCCACCUGGAUCCCACAAUCGGCUUCCGCGAUAACGCGUGCCACUUCGGAGAGUGGAGACAUGAUUGCAAUGGCAGGACGCCCCGCGGCCAGAAUGUUAUAGAAUUUGCUGGGAACACAGAGUCCUUCCAUGCCGGGUUCGAGCGUUACGAGGGAGACAUCCCCUGAUGCGAGCAGAUCCGCGUACUCAUCCUUGGGCACAAACGGAAGAACCUUGACGUUGUUGAUAUGCUCGUCCUGAAUGCGCUGUAGGAUGUGCUCUUUCUGAUGUCCUUCUCCCACCAGAACAAAGCUGAUGCCGCGGGGAUCAGACUGAAACUGCUUGGCCGCAUCCAGAAUGGUGUUGAAGUUGUGGUAGCGUC